CCUACGGGUGGCAGCAGUGAGGAAUAUUGGUCAAUGGACGAGAGUCUGAACCAGCCAAGUAGCGUGAAGGAUGACGGCCCUAUGGGUUGUAAACUGCUGUUAUAAAGGAAUAAAACGAGGCACGUGUGCGGUUUUGCAUGUACUGUAUGAAUAAGGAUCGGCUAACUCCGUGCCAGCAGCCGCGGUAAUACGGAGGUUCCGUGCGUUAUCCGGAUUUAGUGGGUUUAAAGGGAGCGUAGCUGGGUUGUGAAGGCAGCUGUGAAAGUUUGCGGCUCAACCGUCAACUUGCAAUUGAUACUGGCAUUCUUGCGUCCACUUGAGGUAGGCGGAAUUCGUGGUGUAGCGGU
Molecule: ribosomal RNA, 347 nt
Filed under: uncultured bacterium
Lineage: Bacteria
Description: partial 16S ribosomal RNA
Rfam family: Bacterial small subunit ribosomal RNA
Source: RNAcentral